RNAcentral lists this ribosomal RNA (497 nucleotides) under uncultured bacterium. RNAcentral's name for it is "partial 16S ribosomal RNA". It matches the Rfam family "Bacterial small subunit ribosomal RNA", at positions 28 to 507 of the family's 1533-position model. The record is from RNAcentral.
GACGAACGCUGGCGGCGUGCCUAAUACAUGCAAGUAGAACGCUGAAGAGAGGAGCUUGCUCUUCUUGGAUGAGUUGCGAACGGGUGAGUAACGCGUAGGUAACCUGCCUUGUAGCGGGGGAUAACUAUUGGAAACGAUAGCUAAUACCGCAUAACAAUGGAUGACACAUGUCAUUUAUUUGAAAGGGGCAAUUGCUCCACUACAAGAUGGACCUGCGUUGUAUUAGCUAGUAGGUGAGGUAAUGGCUCACCUAGGCGACGAUACAUAGCCGACCUGAGAGGGUGAUCGGCCACACUGGGACUGAGACACCGCCCAGACUCCUACGGGAGGCAGCAGUAGGGAAUCUUCGGCAAUGGGGGCAACCCUGACCGAGCAACGCCGCGUGAGUGAAGAAGGUUUUCGGAUCGUAAAGCUCUGUUGUAAGUCAAGAACGGGUGUGAGAGUGGAAAGUUCACACUGUGACGGUAGCUUACCAGAAAGGGACGGCUAACUACGUG